UAGUUUCACAAUAUAAAAACACUUCAAUAUUAAAAAAAAUAAAUAUUUCAAGCUGGAGAUAAUCUCCUGGAAUAUUAAUAGUUUCACAAUAUAAAAACAUUUCAAUAUUAAAAAAAUAAAUCUUUCAAGCUGGAGAUAAUCUCCUGGAAAUGAUUAUAUAAAUAACUCACUUCAUUUCCUAUUUUAUUUAAAUGGCACAUUGAAUAUUUACAUUAUUUUUGCGUGGAGAUUAUUUUUAGGAUUCCGCCAUAACUGGCAUUAAAAUUUUAUAAGGAUUCAAAAUGCCGUUUGGAUCCAUCAGUUUCUUCAAAUCAUACAUUAUAGCGAUCUCGGACGGGGUUUUGCUCAUAUGAAGAUAUUUAGUCUUUUUGAAACCUAUACCGUGUUCGGCGCUGAUACUGCCAUGACAUUGUGACACAAAUUCGAAGAUAAACGGUUCCAAUUGCGCAGCCACAUCCGCAUAAAACUCUGAUAUCAUUAUAUGUAUAUUUAUAUAGAUACCUAAAUGGCCGUAACCACUGAUCCUAAUGACACGAGGAUCGCAUAUUCGCUCUCGAAGAACUUCAACGACUUUGUAAAACGAUGUGAAAGGUACCAUCUUCGAUGAUGUCAUUGGCCAUUGCCUUCUCCACGAAAGAAGAAAGUUUCUCUUCAUCAUGGGCCAAAUUACUACCGGAAGUUUCGAUAAGCAUGUAGAAGUCGUGACCGUUCUCACGGCUUGUCAAAGGAUUUUUCAUGCCCAAAUUAUUAAUGGAGACAUCGAUAGAUAGUCGAUCCAUCAUUUCGCAAGAGGACAGAAUCUCACCUAGCUCACGCUUCGCCAGAUGCGGAACUUUUGGAGAUUGUUUUACCAGCCAAUUCAUUCGUUUCCAAGAUCUUAUUCAUCAAAGUCAUGGAAAUCACGAUCUCAUCGAAAACCGGAUUGCUUCCUCCCACGAGGCCUGUAUUUCCGCUCUGUGGAACAACCGCUAAUCUUUUGUCGUUGCAAUAUUUUAAUAUAGCUGACACUUCUUCUGUUGAUUUUGGCUUUAGCACACAUCGACUGGCACCUUGUAUUAAAAUAUUAAGUAACUUUUAAAAAUUAUAUAUAUUAAUAAUUAAGUGUAGAAAAAACAAGAUUAUAUGUAUAAUAAGAGAAGACUCAAGAUUUUAUAUACAUUCACAUAUGUAUAU
Non-coding RNA from Nylanderia fulva, 1173 nucleotides. Lineage: Eukaryota; Metazoa; Arthropoda; Insecta; Hymenoptera; Formicidae. The record is from RefSeq and is a predicted model, not a curated record.